RNAcentral lists this unclassified non-coding RNA (255 nucleotides) under uncultured Patescibacteria group bacterium. RNAcentral describes it as "contains 16S-23S intergenic spacer region". It matches the Rfam family "Bacterial small subunit ribosomal RNA", at positions 524 to 776 of the family's 1533-position model. The record is from RNAcentral.
UACGGAGGACUCAAGCGUUACCCGGAGUGACUGGGCGUAAAGAGUUGCGUAGGCGGCUUAUUAAGUGGAUAGUGAAACCUGGUGGCUCAACCAUACAGACUAUUAUCCAAACUGGUAAGCUCGAGAAUGGUAGAGGUAAUUGGAAUUUCUAGUGUAGGAGUGAAAUCCGUAGAUAUUAGAAGGAACACCGAUGGCGUAGGCAGAUUACUGGACCAUUUCCGACGCUAAGGCACGAAAGCGUGGGGAGCGAACCGG